Molecule: ribosomal RNA, 406 nt
Filed under: uncultured bacterium
Lineage: Bacteria
Description: partial 16S ribosomal RNA
Rfam family: Bacterial small subunit ribosomal RNA
Source: RNAcentral
AUUGAACGCUGGCGGCAUGCCUAACACAUGCAAGUCGAACGAGACGCGGGCGGGUGAGUAAGGUCUGGGAAACUGCCCGAGGGAGGGGGAUACCUACUGGAAACGGUAGCUACUACCGCACAGCAUCGGAGGUGCCCAGAUGGGAUUAGCUAGUGGGUGGGGUAACGUCUCACCUAGGCGACGAUCCCUAGCUGGUGUGAGAGGAUGACCAGCCACACUGGGACUGAGACACGGUCCAGACUCCUACGGGAGGCAGCAGUGGGGAAUAUUGGCCAAUGGGCGCAAGCCUGAUGCAGCCAGGCCGCGUGUAUGAAGAAGGCCUUCGGGUUGUAAAGUACUUUCAGCGAGGAGGCGUUACUCGACUAGAAAGCACCGGCUAACUCCGUGCCAGCAGCCGCGGUAAUAC